GAAAAUCUCCACAGCAGCCGCGGUUAAACGCUCAUUUAAAAACACACGCAAUAACUGUAGUUGAUACAUUUUCCGUCGAAUGUGAGUUUGAUGAUGCUUCCUGUGCGAAAAUUUACCGGUGAAAGGGCCAGCCCUGACCGCACCUUUCUCCCCCAAGCAACCCCAACCAAUCAACCCGAACCCCCAUUGACGGCCUACCCCGGCCAAACCCGGAUGACACUGGGCCAAUUGUGCACCGCCCUAUGGGACUCCCAAUCACGGCCGGAUGUGAUACAGCCUGGAUACGAACCAGGGACUGUAGUGACGCCUCUUGCGCUGAGAUGCAGUGCCAUAGACCGCUGUGGCACUUGGGAGUCCAAUGGUACCAAAAAAUAUCUGCAGCAUUGAAGGUCCCCAAGAACA
Non-coding RNA from Salmo salar (Atlantic salmon), 402 nucleotides. Lineage: Eukaryota; Metazoa; Chordata; Actinopteri; Salmoniformes; Salmonidae. The record is from RefSeq and is a predicted model, not a curated record.